GUUUCCUCAGCACAUCCAUCUGUCCAGUAUACUGGAGGGAUCGAUUGGCCUCGCUGCCUUAGGGUGUCCUUGAGCUGUGAGUUCCUGCUGGUUUCUCAGCAACAGUUGAUCAUCUUUGUGAAGGUGACUGGCUCACUGCUUUCGGAUGAAUCGUUCCAGCCCCAGAAGGCGAUGAGGUCCCACCAACCCCAGAGUGGGUCACGCGUACUGCUGACCAGGAGUUCCCCUCGCCACAGGAUGGAUUCUCACCCAGAGACCUGGCCCCCUCCGGUGAUGAUGGUGUGGCUGGAGUAUUUAACAUACCUCUCGGUGAUGGGCACUGUUAGAACCAACUCCCAGCAUCAGCUGAGUGUUCCCCAUCAGCAGCACAGAGGCUCAGCU
Non-coding RNA from Chiloscyllium plagiosum (whitespotted bambooshark), 381 nucleotides. NCBI's taxonomy places the organism in Eukaryota, Metazoa, Chordata, Chondrichthyes, Orectolobiformes, Hemiscylliidae. The record is from RefSeq and is a predicted model, not a curated record.